Molecule: ribosomal RNA, 497 nt
Filed under: uncultured bacterium
Lineage: Bacteria
Description: partial 16S ribosomal RNA
Rfam family: Bacterial small subunit ribosomal RNA
Source: RNAcentral
GAUGAACGCUGGCGGCGUGCCUAAUACAUGCAAGUCGAGCGAACAGACGAGGAGCUUGCUCCUCUGACGUUAGCGGCGGACGGGUGAGUAACACGUGGAUAACCUACCUAUAAGACUGGGAUAACUUCGGGAAACCGGAGCUAAUACCGGAUAAUAUAUUGAACCGCAUGGUUCAAUAGUGAAAGACGGUUUUGCUGUCACUUAUAUAUGGAUCCGCGCCGCAUUAGCUAGUUGGUAAGGUAACGGCUUACCAAGGCAGCGAUGCUUAGCCGACCUGGGAGAGUGAUCGGCCACACUGGGAAUGAGACACGGUCCAGAAUCCUACAGGAGGCAGCAGUAGGGAAUCUUCCGCAAUGGGCGGAAGCCUGACGGAGCAACGCCGAGUGAGUGACGAAGGUCUUCGGAUCGUAAAACUCUGUUAUUAGGGAAGAACAAAUGUGUAAGUAACUAUGCACGUCUUGACGGUACCUAAUCAGAAAGCCACGGCUAACUACGUG